This 800-nucleotide small RNA is filed under the name Pongo abelii (Sumatran orangutan). RNAcentral describes it as "processed transcript". Lineage: Eukaryota; Metazoa; Chordata; Mammalia; Primates; Hominidae. The record is from RNAcentral.
AAAACCAGACCUGAGUCCUUUAAAACUCACAAUUCUAGCCAAUGAAUUGAAAGAAUGUAGAAUCUACUGCAAUGAGUUUCAGUGUAUGAAGGAGUACUUGGAGGCCAUCUCUGUUCAGGAGCUCUGGGAAUUGGUUCUCAAAUGCUGGAUUGAAGACUACAGUUGGACUUUUCAACCCAAAAGGGCAAAUUCAGACACUGUGGCUUCAGGAGAAGUUUGCAUUUCUGUAAAGAAAAUUGACUUCAAAUUUACUGCGCCCUCCUGCACCUACAAGGAGGUGGAAACUAGUUCUCUGUGCCCUUAGAAGAGUCACUCGGCAAAGUGGCCUGUGGCUGUGUUGCCCUCCAUCUCCAGGACUGGAUGGCUGGGUGGCCGACGCUCUGUGCUUACUGUGCCUGUCGCAUGGUGGCUUGGCUGAGGAUGAGCUACUCCAGCUUCUGGACAUGCUGGGCUACAGGAAUCAUUACAAAGUGACCACCUUGCACUGGGCUGCCUUCCGCAACGCCACCAAACAGUGGGUCCAGGAGAAGCCCAAUGGCCUUCUGUAUUUCUGGCACAGUCCCUGCGAAGUGCAGUGGAGCACAAGCUUCUUGAUGGCCCAUGCAAAUCUACUGGUGAUCUUGACUUCUGUGGGCCUAAAGAUUAUUCUGUUUCAUCAGGCACCCUCAAUAUCACAGACUUUAUAUCAAAAAUCCAAAGCCCGGGCUUCUGGACAAGGCAGCUUAUGGUCAAGUGUAAAUGACAGACAUUAAAAAGCAAUUUGGCCCGAGAAGAGACGUUCAAAGUGAUGGUGGCAUGGA